GACAACGACUCCGUACAGGUGCGAGUUGCGAGAAUUGCACUAAAAUUGCAAUUAACAAGGAGACUUUGCGGUUGGAAGUGUACUCAGUGUAUCAGUUGGCUCGUAUGAAUCAUAUCCAGUGUUAGUAUUUCAAUGUUUUUUGCGGUUGAAAGUCAAUACUCGUCUGCAGCAUCCGCGAGGUUAUAGUUUUGCAGUACAAGAUGUUUGGCCGAGCUUUUCACCCAUAAUAGAAGAGUUGGUCUUAAUAUUAUAUGACAUUAGGGCAAAUCUAAAUUACGAUUUCACUACCGAUCCGGAUUAUAACAUUAAAUGAAGAAAAAAUUGGAGAUUAUCUUCUAUUUGAUGUCUUAAGAAUAUGUAUUCUUGAAUAAAUCCGAUCAAUCUGAGGAUCAAAAGCCUGACCUUCAAGGCAGGUGGUGGGACAGAUCCCACUUCGACAGCUAAAGGUGCCAGUCCGUUGGUAUGCCAGAAGACUACUAGGUAUGGAUCGCAAAGAAGACCCUUACGUAUCGCCGAAGCUCUUUGAGUCGAACACAAAUUUAAUGUAUAAUCCGGCAAGUUGUUGUUGUAACGGUUACCCAAAUCUGCCUGAACCGACAAGCCUAGACUAAUUGUCAUCGAAGUUCGAAAUCCGCUUGGCAGUCCAGCAGGAAAUGACUUGGUGUUUUCGCCUCACCUUCCUCCAUACAGUUAUGACAGUUUGCGUUCCCCAGGAUUCCCAGCCUCAUCGCAUUUAUACCUAUUCCGCAGUGUUCUGUGCGUACUCCCACCAUUGAGUAGACUUCAAUUGGUUCGCAAAGAUGUGGUUAAUACCAGGCAGGAACUCUUUGCAAGCAGGGAUUCCAUGACAACCGGUUCUACAGUACUGUAUUAACACAAUUUUUUUCCUGCCAAGGGCUUUCAUUUUGAGAAUCUAACGCCCGAAUUAUUAAGUAGUGACUUUUCCACUACCUUUCUUCGUACCUUAACCUCAGUUUUUAAAUGUUUCAUGAGUUUCAACGAUAUUUACAUAUAACUGUUCAAGGAAUGUCACCUCGACAACAGUUUUCAAUAAAACUUAGAAAGUAUUUAUGCAUCUAAAAACAACACCAACAACAACAAAAUAACUGUAUAAACCCAACUGAGAAAAUUACCAAUUCGAGUGAUGUAAGAACAGCGUGACAUUAGCAAAAAAAAAAACAUGCAAUCUUAACCAGUUCGUUCCGAGCAACACUCAAUAACAUUUCCGAGAAGAAGAAGCAAUCAGCAGCACUGUGGAUAAAAAAAAUCGUAUUGUAAUUUUAUGCAGCGAUUGAAUACAAACGGUAGCAAAGUGUCAUGUCCAUAAACAAAUUUAUAUAUUUAUGUAUGAGUGUCUGUAUGUAAAUAACCUGUGUAUAAAUGUAAAUUUAUGACACAUUUCAAGUUUACAAAUGCUAUUGCAGAAUACUGAUGAAUGUUGCUGACUUUUUAUGCAACAUACUCUUCUUAUGGGUUAACAAAGAAUUGAUUAAAUUUGGAAUGAAGCAAUGAUUUGUGACUCAGCCUAAACAAAUACGCUACAAACUUACUUUGUACAAAUUAAACAAAAGAUUAAAGAAAGAAUACACACGAACGCGGAAAUUAUGGGUCAACUUCGCGCUUUAGCAUAUUUUUAUAUUUUCGAAAGUGCAGUCAAUCAAAUUAGUUGCUCACAACUAGUUUCAACCGCUUAUCAAACAUCUUCACUCUGUAUGGUUAUUUUAAUAAAAUAUAAAUAUGUGUUUUGCCACACUCUUUUUAUAGUUUUAUAACGGUCACGGGAGUGUCAGAAGCAAAUAAAAGUAAAAAAUAUUAAAUAGGAAGUCAACAAGCAUACCGAUCAGCAAUCAGUCAUUCGUAAAAGAAUAAUAAAAACACAUGUAAAUUGGAUUAUAAUGAAUAUAUACGUGAUUGUGAACCUGUAGGAAAUUAUUAAGUUGAAAAAAUAAUGACUGCAGAUUCGCCAUAACCUCAACUAAGUAAUAAAAAAUGUUAUAUGGGAAGGUCUGAUUACAUUUUUAAUGCGUAAAAAUAUGUUUGUGGUUAAUUUUUCAACAAACAAUAAUACUAAGUAAGAAAAAAUUUCAUUUGAGAGAGUCUGAUUAAUUUUUCUUUUUUAACUUUUUUAUAAAAAUAUUAUUGUGAUUUACUUCAUUUUCAUAAUUAUUGUUAUUUUUUUAUUUUAAAACUUAUUUUCUUUAUUACCAGUUCGGCAGCAAUGAGACAACAGACUACUUAGCUUUAUAUACAAAAUAAGAAAUAAUUUCUAAUUGGAAGAAUACAGCACCAGCAUGUGGCAAUAACACCAACUGCGCAGCUAAUAGUUAAUUUCAUUACCUGUUGGGGUUCAGCACCUUAUCAGCGUACCAAAAAUAAAUGCGCACACAGUAUACAUAUAUAUAUAUAAAGAGUACAACACUUUGCUAAAUGCUUACAUGCAUGCAAUCGAAAAUCACAGCUCCCUAUUAAGUGCUAAGUAAUGAACUCCUACAAAGGAAUUAGUGUAAAACAUUAUCUCAUUUUAUACAAUUUCAAUAAUUCAUACAUAGCAAGUGUUAACUCGUGAGUAUCAUACACGCUGUGAAUGGAGAACGCGUGCUACGCGAGAUUUAUUAAAUGAUGAGAAUAUUUUCAGCAGAUAGGCUUUAUUAUAAAAUACAUGCUAAUGAGCAUUGGUAUUUAAAUUCUUUUUAUACAUACAUACAUACGUGAAUAUGUAAAUUUAUAUGCUCUCAAAGUAGUGCUGACCUCUGCGUCAAGUCAUUGUGCCAAAAACAAUUUCGUUUCCGUUUUUAUACAAUACCUUAACGGUGAGUAACCGCAUUGAUUGGAAAACCAAAACACACAAAAACAAGAAGAAAAUAAAAAUAAAAACAAUAUCAUGACAAAGUCUCUAAGUCACAUCUUGUAUUUGACAUCCUACUCGACGCUCUAGGCAGUGGAAUACUUUGCAGCUUUGUGGACACUAAUACGCGUGUGCCCGCACAAAACAUACAUAUCAUUGAACUAACGUAUUGUGUUAUACAUAUGUAUAGCGGUUCACUGAAAUGUAAAUACAACAAACCGAUGAGCACACAAAGUAGGCAUACACAUGCACAUAUGCGACUGAAUAACACAUUGUUGGCACCUAUGUAUGCAAAUACAUACAUACAAACAUAGGUACGUACAAGUAGUAGAUGUGACAGAUUAAAUAGUGCCCAAGUCAUUGCGGUUUAUUGACUUAAAACUGUCUCGUUACACCUCGCUUAUAAACAAGACCAAAGGAGGCGGCAUUCGUGGGACGUACACGACAUAUGCUAAAUAAAACGGGGUGCUGCUGAUUUGUCAACCGGGGAGAUGGUUAAACAAUGUGGCGUCGUAGUGAAUUUGAGUGUUGAUGUGAUUGCAUUUCGUGAUGGAGGGCAUUUGACCGAAUUAUUUAGUGGUUAAAUAAGAAUGCUAAACCAUAGCAAAAAAUAGUGAGAAGACAUAUGCGAAAAAAGUGAUACACAAGAAUGUCGUUUAGACAGGCUAAAUCUAAAUCUAUAAAUAUAUAAAUAUGCAUACGUAUGCAGCAGACAGUACAUUCGAGUUCAUAUUGGUAAAACUUUUAUAAUGAAAUGCGUGAAAUCAAAUACAAGUAUUAAUUAUUAUUAAAUAAAAAAAUAAUAAUUUUGAUAAAAAAUUAAAAAUUCAAAUUAAUGCAUCUUGAAAAAUACUUAAGAAUCAUGCAACAACUACUUUAAGUUCAAAAAUUCCUGAAAUUUGCUUUGGAAGAUGCAGUUGAACUAUUUUUUGUUUCUUCUGAUUAGUUAGGCAAACCAUUUAUAGUGCAAACUUAAUGACCAAAUACGUACAUAAACAUUUAUAAUAUAUGUACAUAUUACAUCCCUACAUAUGUAUAUACAAAAGUACAUGUGCUUUGAUAAUACCUAGCAAUUCAACUACAUUUAGACAAGUUCAAAUCACAUUGCAGCAAUAUACAUGUACAUAGUACCUAUUAUAUUAUACUAGCUAUUACUGUGCGUAUGUUUGUAUGUCCCCGGCAUCGUCAUUCACGCUAUAAUUUUCGUGUAUAUAAAAUAAAAUGGAUAAUAGCCGUUGGCUAAUUUGUCAUAUCUCUUUUUUCGACUUUUAUACGCUAUUCUAAGUGGUUUCUUUGCGGAAUUGCCUCAAAUUUUGACCAGACAUACAUACAUAUCUAAUUUGUUCAUGGUCUUUCCUCAGCAUAACCGCUUUAUGAUCUUAUUUUGUUGCUUAUUUAUUUAUCUUGUGCUGCUUUCAGCUACUUACAUUUCUACCUAUUAUAUUUCGCUAUAAUGGGCGCGUGCACACCAAUUACAAAAUUUCAUAAUAUACACAAAUGUGUAUAAAACUACACGAAAUCGCUGCAAUGUGCACACUUCUUACAGCUUAUUUAUAUACAAGCGCAGAUAUUUGCUUCACAUUUUUCUACACAUUAACCAAAAAAAUCUAAUAACUUAUAGAUGAAUUCCAAAAGAAAUUCGGAAGCUGUAAAAUGCACACUUUUUGUGAGCAAUCACCACCAAAAUGUGUGAAAAAAAUAGAAUUUAUAAUUCCUUGCCAUUCAUAUGCAUAUGUAUGACUAUUAGAUCCAAGGACGCCCCCAUGCAAGGAGAUCAAUGAAGGCCGUGGCCACGUACCGACCGUCAUCGACGCUUUCGGCAGCCGAGCACAGGGUGCCUACACCCUCCUACUACCCACUAUUGCUUCAAAUACUUAAAUACAUAUGUAUAAUGAAAUGUUUAUGUACUUUAUGAAUAAUACUUACGAUUUUCAAUCAGAUGUUCAGUGCAUACGUUGCUUUUAUAGUUAAUACCACAGAAAUAUGUUUUUUUCACACAACGCACACCUAGCACACGUUUGUUGAAUUUUCCUGAAUUUAUUGGCUUUAGUAUAUACGGAUGUUAAAAGCUUUCCUCCACAGAGGAAAUAUGCUAAGUUCCUCCAGUUAAUUUGAAUAGCUUCCUGAAUUUUACCUUACAGCUAUAAAUGCCAAUUACUUCAUUUUUUCCACCGUUUGGUGUAGGUCUUGUCUAGGUAUGUCGUUGGAGUUUCUAUUGUUUCUGUUGUUGUUGUUGUUGUUGUUGUUGCUCAACAGCUAUGUUGUUAGUGGUUGAUGUUGCUAUUGUUGUUCGACUGGUCACUGCUGCUGCUGAUGUAGAAAAAUUUCUUUUGC
Long non-coding RNA from Zeugodacus cucurbitae (melon fly), 5179 nucleotides. RefSeq lists it as uncharacterized. Lineage: Eukaryota; Metazoa; Arthropoda; Insecta; Diptera; Tephritidae. The transcript is spliced from 2 exons. The record is from RefSeq and is a predicted model, not a curated record.